This 1213-nucleotide long non-coding RNA is filed under the name Gadus morhua (Atlantic cod). RNAcentral describes it as "lncRNA (ENSGMOG00000025472.1)". Lineage: Eukaryota; Metazoa; Chordata; Actinopteri; Gadiformes; Gadidae. The record is from RNAcentral.
GCGCGUUUUUUGAAAAAGUAUUUUACUUGUGUUUUAAUGAUCAUAUCACAUUAAAAUAAUUAAAAACUAUUAUUGGCCCAUUCCUACAUUGUAGAAAAAAAGAAAUAAAGUUUAUUUGAGUGAGUUUGAGCGGUCGGCUUUCCGUAGACGACGGCCGGGGCGUAGUCUUGUCAUCAUCGUUGUCGUCAUCGUCGUCGAUUUUUACCAAACAAGCAAACAAGCGUUGGUUGAUAAGCUGCUCUCUCUUUACGGAUAUAUCUUGAGCAUUUUGAGAGCGUUUAAAAUGCAGUCCGGGGUCGCGGACCGACACGGGUCCCCCAGCAAGAGGACUCUUGCCCGGGGGAUGAGCGAGGACGAGUCCCUGCGCAUCAUCAUCUCGGAGACGGAGACCCCAUCCCGGCGGCUCGCCCGCAGCGACAGCCGAAGCGGAACUCUUAAGAGGAAGAGUGGAAGUCAGCAGUGUGAUCAGGACAUUUUCAAGACCCUGCCUGACGUGAUGGAGCUGCAGGCCAGCUACGAGGAGGUGGUGCAGGAGCGGCGGGGCAUGGAGCUGGAGCGCGAGGCGCUGCUGUUCCAGGUGGACGUGCUGCAGGACUCCCUGGAGAGCGUGGAGGAGCUGCUGGCCGAGGCGCACCGGGAGGCCGGCCAGGCCCGCACGGAAGCGGAGCUGGGGAGGAUGACCAAUAGGACGCUGGAGGACAAAGUCAGAGCGCUGACGACUGAAGUGGAGCGACUGAACGAGGAGAGGGACGCCCUAGCUACCCUUCAGAAACACGCGCUCAUUCUGGAGGAGGCAAAGGCCUACAGCACCCUGGACCAGGAGGCACCCAGCACCCUGGCCCCAGCACCCAGCUCUGAGGAGCCCUGGUCCAGUCCUCUCCAGAAGCUGGCGGACAUCACCCUGUCCAAGAUGAGCACUCUGGCGCUGGUGGACCCCCGCCCCCCCGAGGGGGUGCGGGGCCGGCCGGACGGGUGGCGGCUGGAGGAGGAGGAGGACGAGAGGAACAACGACACAGACAGCGUGGGGGCCUACGAGGACGCCUCGGCCGACACGCCCGACCUCGACCCCCAGGCCUUCCCGGGGCCCGGGGAGGACGACGACGACGAGCGGGACGGGGGGGAGGAGGAGGAGGAGAGGGGGGGCGAGACGGACCCCAGGGACCCCAGGGACCCCAAGGACCAGGACCCGAACAGCUCCUGCGUUCUGUCUUAA